This 397-nucleotide transfer-messenger RNA is filed under the name Flavobacteriaceae bacterium. It matches the Rfam family "transfer-messenger RNA". From Rfam's summary of the family: Bacterial tmRNA, also known as 10Sa RNA or SsrA, is named for its dual tRNA and mRNA-like properties. Its role is to liberate the mRNA from a stalled ribosome. To accomplish this part of the tmRNA is used as a reading frame that ends in a translation stop signal. Lineage: Bacteria; Pseudomonadati; Bacteroidota; Flavobacteriia; Flavobacteriales; Flavobacteriaceae. The record is from RNAcentral.
GGGGUCGACUGGUUUUGACAGCGAGAUCAAUCGAAAAGUAAGCAUGUCGAGCAAUGAAUCACAUCUCGUAAAACUAAGAUUCAACCUUUAAUAGGCGAGAAUAACUACGCUCUAGCUGCAUAAGCGACUGAAUUAUAGUAAGUCACUGCCUAGUCUCAACCAGGUUGAGAAGCCGGAUGUCUCUUGAAAGCCCUUGUUGACGGCGUUCAAACCCGAGGCACCAUAAAGGUCAACAUCGAAGUCUGGAGGUUCCGGUCAGAUUUUUCAAUAAAGGAACUAAGGAAUGUGUGGGCGGUUUUCAGUCAGUACAUUUUCGAAAACUAAAUGAUAACUAAACAUGUAGAAGGCUCUUCUAUUGCUUGUAUGGACGAGGGUUCGAUUCCCUCCGACUCCACUU